This 486-nucleotide ribosomal RNA is filed under the name uncultured bacterium. Its description in RNAcentral is "partial 16S ribosomal RNA". It matches the Rfam family "Bacterial small subunit ribosomal RNA", at positions 30 to 507 of the family's 1533-position model. The record is from RNAcentral.
AUUGAACGCUGGCGGCAUGCCUUACACAUGCAAGUCGAACGGCAGCACGGGUGCUUGCACCUGGUGGCGAGUGGCGAACGGGUGAGUAAUACAUCGGAACAUGUCCUGUAGUGGGGGAUAGCCCGGCGAAAGCCGGAUUAAUACCGCAUACGAUCUACGGAUGAAAGCGGGGGACCUUCGGGCCUCGCGCUAUAGGGUUGGCCGAUGGCUGAUUAGCUAGUUGGUGGGGUAAAGGCCUACCAAGGCGUCGAUCAGUAGCUGGUCUGAGAGGACGACCAGCCACACUGGGACUGAGACACGGCCCAGACUCCUACGGGAGGCAGCAGUGGGGAAUUUUGGACAAUGGGCGAAAGCCUGAUCCAGCAAUGCCGCGUGUGUGAAGAAGGCCUUCGGGUUGUAAAGCACUUUUGUCCGGAAAGAAAUCCUUGGCCCUAAUACGGUCGGGGGAUGACGGUACCGGAAGAAUAAGCACCGGCUAACUACGUG